GACGAACGCUGGCGGCGUGCCUAAUACAUGCAAGUCGAGCGGACGAUUCGAAAGCUUGCUUUUGAAUCGUUAGCGGCGGACGGGUGAGUAACACGUGGGCAACCUGCCCUGUAGACGGGGAUAACACCGAGAAAUCGGUGCUAAUACCGGAUAACACGAAAUGUCGCAUGACGUUUCGUUGAAAGGCGGCGCAAGCUGCCGCUACAGGAUGGGCCCGCGGCGCAUUAGCUAGUUGGUGAGGUAACGGCUCACCAAGGCGACGAUGCGUAGCCGACCUGAGAGGGUGAUCGGCCACACUGGGACUGAGACACGGCCCAGACUCCUACGGGAGGCAGCAGUAGGGAAUCUUCCGCAAUGGACGAAAGUCUGACGGAGCAACGCCGCGUGAGCGAAGAAGGCCUUCGGGUCGUAAAGCUCUGUUGUUAGGGAAGAACAAGUAACGUAGUAACUGACGUUACUAUGACGGUACCUAAAGAGAAAGCCACGGCUAACUACGUG
This 498-nucleotide ribosomal RNA is filed under the name uncultured bacterium. RNAcentral's name for it is "partial 16S ribosomal RNA". It matches the Rfam family "Bacterial small subunit ribosomal RNA", at positions 28 to 507 of the family's 1533-position model. The record is from RNAcentral.